GUAGAUAUUUUCGCGGAGUUAUAAACAGUUUACAGUCUUAGAAAGUAUCCUAAUAGUGAAAUAUUGUCAAAUUACGAUCACGGACAAAGAUUCGUUUCAACGACGGUGAGAGAGAAUCUUCGGUAUCUUCUCAGAAUAAACGUUGCCUAUCGUGUUAAUUCGUUGACAGAAACACAACUAAGAGUUUGCUAUUCGUGAAGUGUAUAAUUCUCUCGAGUAAUAUGGAUACCAGUUAUUUGCACAAUAUUUGAUUCGUAAUGUCCAUUUGCAUCAUUUAAUUUACUAAUUAUAUAUUCGGCCUAGAGCGUAAAUUACACGCGGUCCAACAAGACUCGUCGUUAAAUGCGAGAUGAAAAAUGAAGCGAUUUCACCGUGAUAUAUCGUGAGCAAUAUAUUGCGAUUUGUUCCUUGCAAUAUCCAAUUUUUUAUCAAAUUUUAUUGGGACAAUGUUAUCGUCAGACAAGUUCGUUAAGGAGAGAGAGAAGAGGAUGGCUUGAUUACUAGAUGAUCAUACGAGAGCGAGAAGGAUAAU
Long non-coding RNA from Bombus pyrosoma, 532 nucleotides. RefSeq lists it as uncharacterized. The record is from RefSeq and is a predicted model, not a curated record. The transcript has 3 exons. Lineage: Eukaryota; Metazoa; Arthropoda; Insecta; Hymenoptera; Apidae.